RNAcentral lists this ribosomal RNA (513 nucleotides) under Triticum aestivum (bread wheat). RNAcentral's name for it is "partial small subunit ribosomal RNA". The record is from RNAcentral. Lineage: Eukaryota; Viridiplantae; Streptophyta; Magnoliopsida; Poales; Poaceae.
AUGACGUCGGAGCCGGUGCCGCCGGGGAUGCUGAGCGUGCGGGUGCUGCGAGGGAUCAACCUCGUGAACUGUGAUGCCAACGGCAGCGACCCCUACGUCGUGCUUGAGCUGGACAACCAGAAGGUGAUGACGAACGUCAUCAAGAAGACGGUGAACCCGGUCUGGAACAAGGAUCUCACCCUCGCCGUCACGAAUCCAACAACAUCGAUCAAGAUAGAGGUGUUCGACAAGGACAAGUUCAGCAAGGACGAUAAGAUGGGGGACGCGGAGGUGGACCUGGAGCCGCUGCUGCAGAUGGCCCGGAUGGACCUGGAGGACAUCCGGAGCGGCACCGUGGUGCGCACUGUGCGGCCUCACCGUGGCGGCGCCGGAGGGAGCUGCUGCCUGGCGGAUGAGAGCAGCAUCGUGUGGGAGGAAGGGCAGGUGGUGCAGGACGCGCUGCUCAAGCUCAGGAACGUCGCCACCGGCAUCAUCCACCUCCAGCUCCGAUGGGUCAAAAUACCAUCAUUAUGA